This 342-nucleotide ribosomal RNA is filed under the name uncultured bacterium. RNAcentral's name for it is "bacterial SSU rRNA". It matches the Rfam family "Bacterial small subunit ribosomal RNA", at positions 28 to 371 of the family's 1533-position model. The record is from RNAcentral.
GAUAAACGCUGGCGGCGUGCAUGGGACAUGCAAGUCGAACGGACGAUCGGGGGCUUGCUCUGAUCGUUAGUGGCGGACGGCUGAGUAACGCGUAGGUGACCUGCCCCGAAGUGGGGAUAACUGCCCGAAAGGGUGGCUAAUACCGCAUGUGGUGGUGCCUUCAUGGGCACCAGUAAAGCCGCAAGGCGCUUCGGGAGGGGCCUGCGUCCGAUUAGCUCGUUGGUGGGGUAACGGCNCACCAAGGCGACGAUCGGUAGGUGGUCUGAGAGGACGAUCACCCAGACUGGGACUGAGACACGGCCCAGACUCCUACGGGAGGCAGCAGUCGGGAAUUUUGCGCAA